CACUGAAGGAAGCCAGCACAUGGAAAGCUGAGAAGUUGAAGUAACUCGGUGCCUUUGGAGCACGUAUAUAGUUGGUAUGUGUGUGCCUCCCCUUCAGAGGGAUGCCAGAAACAUUUUUCAAAGAAGACAAAGAAAGCAUUUUUUGAAAAAGAUAUUGCUCUUAGAGAAGAAAGCAUUCUGGCUAAAGUAUGGAGAAUGGAUUGAGGUGAGUAGCGGGUAGAGGAUAAUUGUGGUGCUGGAGGUAAGAGAUGAUAGCUGAUUCGACUCAGGGGGAAUGGUGGGUGUGGAGAGAAGGUGGUGGGUUCAAAGCCUGACACAAGGGGCUUCUGCUUCCCAAGAAUAUGGUAAAGUGGCACUUACUGCUGCUUCCCUCUCUCAGUCACCUUGCUGAUGCCACGGAAAUGAGAGGAAGGGCAUGGAACUGAGGUAGCAAAUGUGGAGAAAGCGUGGGAGAGAGAGUAAGUGCCCCAGUGUGGGAAGGGAAUGGCAGCUUGGGGAGAGAAGGUUCAUUGCUACAGGGGGGGAUGAUAUGAGGAGAGAGUUUGCCCGAUGAGUGUUUUUAUUUCCUCUCCUCGGCAAUGAACUGGAUGGAACUUUGUCCUAUCACCAAUGAGAACUGAAAAAAACAGAGUGC
This 634-nucleotide long non-coding RNA is filed under the name Equus caballus (horse). RNAcentral describes it as "lncRNA (ENSECAG00000048991.1)". The record is from RNAcentral. Lineage: Eukaryota; Metazoa; Chordata; Mammalia; Perissodactyla; Equidae.